This 573-nucleotide ribosomal RNA is filed under the name Xenophrys minor (tiny spadefoot toad). RNAcentral's name for it is "partial 12S ribosomal RNA". It matches the Rfam family "Bacterial small subunit ribosomal RNA", at positions 6 to 959 of the family's 1533-position model. The record is from RNAcentral. Lineage: Eukaryota; Metazoa; Chordata; Amphibia; Anura; Megophryidae.
AAACAUGUUGCAUGACAUAAAGGUCUGGUCCUGGCCUUAUUAUCAAUUGCAGCUAAACUUACACAUGCAAGUUUCCCCGCCCCCGUGAAAAUGCCCUCUUUCUCCCCAUAAAGAGCUAGAGGAGCCGGUAUCAGGCUCAAUAUUGCCCAUGACACCUAGCCCCGCCACACCCCCAAGGGUAUUCAGCAGUGAUCAACAUUGAAAACUAGCGAAAGCUAAAUUCAGUUACUAGCUAAAAAAACCGGUCAAUCUCGUGCCAGCCACCGCGGUUAUACGGGCAGGUUUAAAUUGAUAACAUCGGCUCAAAGCGUGGUUAGAUUCUCCCUUAAAUAAAGCAAAAAAGAAGCCCAGCUGUGAUAUGCUUUCGCUUUUUAUAACCCCAAUCACGAAAGUAGCUUUAAUUCCUAUUGAACCCACGAUCGCUAGGACACAAACUGGGAUUAGAUACCCCACUAUGCCUAGCCCUAAACUUUGACAUUUCCGCCUGGGAACUACGAGCGUUAGCUUAAAACCCAAAAGACUUGGCGGUGCCCUAUACCACCUAGAGGAGCCUGUUCUAAAUCCCCGAUAAAA